CCUACGGGUGGCAGCAGUGAGGAAUAUUGGUCAAUGGGCGCGAGCCUGAACCAGCCAAGUCGCGUGAGGGAAGACGGUCCUAUGGAUUGUAAACCUCUUUUGUCGGGGAGCAAAAGACGCCACGCGUGGCGUUCCGCGAGUGCCCGCAGAAAAAGCAUCGGCAAACUCCGUGCCAGCAGCCGCGGUAGUACGGAGGAUGCGAGCGUUAUCCGGCUUUCUUGGGGUUAAGGGGUGCGUAGGGGGAAUGCCAAGUCAGCGGUAAAAUGGCGGGGCUCAACCUCGCUCCGCGUUUGAAACUGGCGUUCUUGAGUGGGCGAGAAGUAUGCGGAAUGCGUGGUGUAGCGGUGAAAUGCAUAGAUAUCACGCAGAACUCCGAUUGCGAAGGCAGCAUACCGGAGCCCAACUGACGCUGAAGCACGAAAGCGUGGGUAUCGAACAGGAUUAGAUACCCUUGUAGUC
Molecule: ribosomal RNA, 459 nt
Filed under: uncultured bacterium
Lineage: Bacteria
Description: partial 16S ribosomal RNA
Rfam family: Bacterial small subunit ribosomal RNA
Source: RNAcentral